GGUAUGGAACACAAGUCUGUGAGGAGUGGCUGAGGGAACUGGGGUUGUUUAGUCUGGGGAAGAGGAGGCUCAGGAGAGACCUUACUGCUCUUUACAACUACUUGAAAGGAAGGUAUGGGGAGCUGGGGAUCGGCCUCUUCUCACAGAUAACUAGUGAUAGGACUAGAGGGAAUGGUUCUAGUUGUGCCAAAGGAGGUUUAGGUUGGAAAUUAGGAGAAACUUUUCAGAGAGAGCAGUUAGGAA
This is a long non-coding RNA of Oxyura jamaicensis (ruddy duck), 243 nucleotides long. RefSeq lists it as uncharacterized. NCBI's taxonomy places the organism in Eukaryota, Metazoa, Chordata, Aves, Anseriformes, Anatidae. The transcript is spliced from 3 exons. The record is from RefSeq and is a predicted model, not a curated record.